RNAcentral lists this ribosomal RNA (375 nucleotides) under Petasospora fabianii. RNAcentral describes it as "eukaryotic LSU rRNA". It matches the Rfam family "Eukaryotic large subunit ribosomal RNA", at positions 75 to 451 of the family's 3401-position model. The record is from RNAcentral. Lineage: Eukaryota; Fungi; Ascomycota; Saccharomycetes; Phaffomycetales; Wickerhamomycetaceae.
UUUCCUUCAAUACGGCGAGUGAGCGGCAAAAGCUCAAUUUGAAUCUAGUACCUUCGGUGCUCGAGUUGUAAUUUGAAGGUAGUUUUCUGGUGCUGGCCCUUGUCUAUGUUCCUUGGAACAGGACGUCAUAGAGGGUGAGAAUCCCGUCUGAUGGGGUGUCCAGUGCUUUGUAGAUUUCUACCGAAGAGUCGAGUUGUUUGGGAAUGCAGCUCUAAGUGGGUGGUAAAUUCCAUCUAAAGCUAAAUACUGGCGAGAGACCGAUAGCGAACAAGUACAGUGAUGGAAAGAUGAAAAGAACUUUGAAAAGAGAGUGAAAAAGUACGUGAAAUUGUUGAAAGGGAAGGGUAUUGGAUCACACUUGGUGUCUUGUGAUUA